Molecule: ribosomal RNA, 512 nt
Filed under: uncultured Flavobacterium sp.
Lineage: Bacteria; Pseudomonadati; Bacteroidota; Flavobacteriia; Flavobacteriales; Flavobacteriaceae
Description: bacterial SSU rRNA
Rfam family: Bacterial small subunit ribosomal RNA
Source: RNAcentral
GAGUUUGAUCGUGGCUCAGGAUUAACGCUAGCGGCAGGCAUAAUACAUGCAAGUUGAACGAGAUAAGUUGUAGCAAUACGGCUUUGAAAGUGGCGCACGGGUGCGUAACACGUAUGCAACCUACCUUUUACAGGGGGAUAGCCUCUCGAAAGAGAGAUUAAUACCCCAUAAUAUAUUUGUUGGGCAUCUAAUGAAUAUUAAAGCUGAGGCGGUAAAAGAUGGGCAUGCGGCUGAUUAGGUAGUUGGUGAGGUAAUGGCUCACCAAGCCGACGAUCAGUAGGGGGUCUGAGAGGAUGUCCCCCCACACUGGUACUGAGACACGGACCAGACUCCUACGGGAGGCAGCAGUAGGGAAUAUUGGACAAUGGGCGCAAGCCUGAUCCAGCCAUGCCGCGUGCAGGAUGAAGGCCCUAUGGGUCGUAAACUGCUUUUGUACGGGAAGAAACCUCACUACGUGUAGUGAGUUGACGGUACCGUGAGAAUAAGGAUCGGCUAACUUCGUGCCAGCCGCC